GCCCUCGAAUGGGAGUUCUCUGAACCUGAAAUUAAGGCCGAUGUUUUUGAUCUGCCUUCAGGGAAGGCACCGGGACCAGACGGUUUCAUGGCUGAUUUCUUCAAAUCCUGCCGGGAUAUUGUAAAGGCUGACCUGAUCGCAACUCUGAAUCAAGCUUUCUCCUUGAGGGCCCAGCGCUGGAAGUUUCUCAACCAGGUCUUCAUCACCUUGCUGCCGAAAUCUGCUGAUGCAUCAAGAGUGAAGGAUUUCAGGCCCGUAAGCCUCAUGCACUCCGUCGCAAAAAUUCUGUGCAAGCUGCUCGCCAACCGUCUCGCGCCCUUCCUGCAUCAGCUGGUGCCCAGCUCCUAG
Molecule: ribosomal RNA, 348 nt
Filed under: Triticum aestivum (bread wheat)
Lineage: Eukaryota; Viridiplantae; Streptophyta; Magnoliopsida; Poales; Poaceae
Description: partial small subunit ribosomal RNA
Source: RNAcentral